GCUUUGGCAGUUUGAAUUAUCUCCAACGUCUCUUAUUUUUCCCAUCCAGUCUGUCACCACGGCCAGUGUGGUCUUGGCGUAUGUCCUCAUGAGGAAAUUCGGGAUGAUUCUAGCAUCCUGGGUCCAUUGGCAGGGUGUUUGAGAUGCUGGCUAUGCUACUUCCUUUUAGCUCUUUGAAUUCAAUAUCUCAGUGGCAGCGAAUGAAGAAUUUCUGCACAGAGACUGAAGACCAGCUGUUCUCAAUAUUGACUCGGCUCUGCAGAGUGGAAACUGAUUUGAAUAGCAUCAUGAGAGACUUAGAUUACAGAUGAGAGAAUUUUCUGACACUUGACCUACGAAGAACUGUCAAGACAGCCGGCGAGGGGUUGUGUCGGAGGCAGUAAUGGCUCCUUUAACAACAGAGAACAGAAAAAUCUCAAAAGUGAAGCCUAUUGUCAAGGGACUCACAUUGCCCUGGCUGACUUCCAAGAAUAGAAGAAGGAAUGAAGGAAUGGUUCCUGACCCUGGAGAGUGGAGUACAAGAGAGAGAAAUGCAUUUAGUGCCAAUGACAGUGUUUGAGUGUUAAUCACACUAUAUCAACUUGAAUGGAUGGAGAAACACCUAGUGGAUUAUCAAAGCACAGUUCUGAGUGUAUCUGCAGGUAACUGACAUGUAGGCUAAAACUGAAGUGGGGAGACCCACCCAGUUGUGGGCGGCAAACACCGAUAGGUUCAUAGCUUGGAUAGAAGAAAAAUGGAAAGAGAAGGGAAGUGUAUCUGUUUUGAAGAGCUUCAGUCUCCAGUUUCUACAGCUUUCAAUGCAGACUCACCCUCAUGGCUCUCCAGUGAGCUUUGAGGUCUUCGACUUUGAACUGGUGUUGCAUCCUGAUCCCUUUUGUUCUGUGGCUCGUAUAUCCUGGGCUGAACUGCUGCAAGAUCUUCUAGCUCUCCAGGGUGCAGACAGCCAUGGUGGACUCUCCUGCCUUUCAUCCUGAAAUCCUACCUAAUA
Chinchilla lanigera (long-tailed chinchilla) is the source of this 988-nucleotide long non-coding RNA. RefSeq lists it as uncharacterized. The record is from RefSeq and is a predicted model, not a curated record. The transcript is spliced from 5 exons. NCBI's taxonomy places the organism in Eukaryota, Metazoa, Chordata, Mammalia, Rodentia, Chinchillidae.